AGCUAUUGAUAUAGCUAUUCAUGAAUGCGUCUGUCCUCCUGUAAGUUUCAGGCAUUUUGUAUUCCAGUUAUACUGAUUCCUGUAUCUUUUUCAUUUUUCCUUUUGUCAGGCUCCCCGCUAGUGCCUGGAGCCGUCCCUGCUUUAGACAAAGGUUCGCUGGUGCCUGGAGCCACCCCUGCUUUAGACAAAGGAAUGUGUAUUUGAUUUGUUGACCUGCCGGAUCUUCCCGCAAAGACAAAGAAGGUCCAUUUUUACAUAUUAGUGAAGUUUCACAGAAGAAAAACGAAGAGGAAUAUGUCUGCGAUCAAAACAGCCACCAAGCUGUAAAAAGGUGGGGUCCUUCAGGAAAAAAGCUAUCCCUACAGAAAUGAAAAUACUGUUGAGUCCAUGCUCCACUAGGACCCGUGGCAUCUACUGCAACAUCAAUAAUGGAAUCUGGAGUCAUCCAUCUCAGAAAUACCAGGAAAAGGAAGCUUAAUACAGCAAAAAGAGCAAAAAUAC
This is a non-coding RNA of Chrysemys picta bellii (western painted turtle), 501 nucleotides long. The record is from RefSeq and is a predicted model, not a curated record. Lineage: Eukaryota; Metazoa; Chordata; Testudines; Emydidae.